GGAGGAGGCAAUCUGACCUGAAUUUACAGAAGUCCAUUAAUGGAGAAUUCAUUGCAGCCCUUAGGAAAAUAUCUCAGUGUUAAUUACCUUCACAGUUAAUUACCUUCAAUUAUCAUCACAGUUACGUAUUUAAUAUUUAUUUCUAGUCUAAGCUUUCUUCAGCCUUCAUGUACCGAAGCGUAUGAUGCCUCACUUUGCUGCAGCCAGGAGAUUAACUGUGACAUCAGCUCUGGCGUAAAUGCUGGACCUCACCAUAACAAUCAUCAGCACUGGGAAGAACUGGGACUGACGUGUCCUAGUGGGGUUUCUGCCUUCCCUGACUUCUUCAGAUACAUCACAGCUCGUGUAACCUUCCAUGGAGUAAGGCUCUGUUCUUGGCAUGGACUGCAGAAGCACUGUCAGAUUUUCAACUUCCUUGACUGCAUGCGUCAGCCUCAUGAUAUAUGGGCUGAAGAGAAGUGGAAAGGAAGACAUGUGAAAAAUAUUGCAGAGCUUUGUUUCUCCAGUAUUGUUUCCACAGAUUUGCUUUAAGAAUCAUAUUAGGCUGGCAGGAGGAGCUCUUUUAUUCCCUUGUGGUAUAAAUCUAAAACGCUUGCUUGCUAUGGAGAAGACAUUUAAAUUUGCAGCCGUGUGGCAGCAAUCUGUAUCCUUCUGGAAAUCACCUGCAUUUAUUCACCCUUAACGGCACUGUCACUUGUUCUCCUUGACCUUACAAAGGAGAUGUGAGGAUCAGAUUUCCAGACACUGUGAAUCCCUUUCUUAGAGACCAGUUUGAAUUUCAGUCUGAAGUGAGACAUUUUGCUGGGCACAUGUUGAAGCACAUUAGUCAUGGAAGCGGUUGUAACCCAUCAGUGACAUUUGUCUGUGUUACUCUACCUGGUUAGCUGACACCAACUCCACAGUACUUGAAAUCUGCUGACUUUACUGAAGGGUCAGGCUUGCUACGCCACCUAGAAAAACAAGGAAGUUGGAAGACACCAUUUAAAUACAGUUUAUAAAGGAUCUGAGCCAAUCAUUAUGGGGAGAAGAGACAUCCCAAAGGGACGGGAGUUUUGGAGCUUGCUGAUGACUCAUUUCAUAAAACCAGAAAAUUGACUUGCAUACGUGUGAUGAAUAAAAGUAGAUUAUAUAUUGCGUACAGGUUGCUUGAGAGUAGGUUGGAAAAGGGCUUAUUCUCAUUACCAGACAGCUAUGAGUAUUCUUUAUUAGGACAUUUAAAAUACAUCUCCUGGUUGUCGUUAAGAGUAAGUACCAUGCGCUUCUGGCUGAUGACCUAUGAGAUUUUACUGACAUCAUUGCAUGAGUAGAAGAAUGAGCUUUAUGUAUGAGCUUCACGCACCUUUGAAAGCCGUACUUGGUUCUACUUAGAGCCAUUUGCUGCUCAGAAUAAACUCUGCUGGAAAUCUUAAUGGCUUUAACAGAUCUCAUUCUAAAUAUCUCUGUGGAAGAGAUUCUUAACGUGCUUUUACUCACUCUAAUCUCUGCUGCAUUCAUUAAAAAACACUUUGAAUCAAAAUGGCUCCAAACUCACUAUUUUUGUACUCUUUCCAUUUCUGAAAGGUUUGCAAUUCAGGAAGGCUGUAUGCUAGCUAAUUCACUGCAGUUGAAAUUAAUCAUAGGAGUGUUUUUCCCUUCUUGUUUUACUUUUUUUUCUUUCUUUCCAAACCAUUACUUUUAAUUGAGGAGAUGGUGAUUAUUACACUGGCAUUUACUUUCCAGACAGCGUGAUUCACAAAAUACCCCUUUGUUUGUGACUGAGUGGAGACCUACAUUUUACUUGCACAGUCCUUCUGGUAGACAGAGCUGCUUUCCAUGAUUUCAUACAAAAGGACUGACCUAACCUUCUGAAGUUUUACUCUUGGCUUCCUUAAAAUCUGCAUCAAUCUUAGACCUGAUCAGUCCUUGGCUGGAUAACACCCUAUUAAUCUGGAUGAAGAUGCUGAGUAAAGCAGCAUAAAGGAUCAUCUUUGUUGCAUCUGAGCCAAGCUGUGCGCACGUAACCUUCUAUUUGGCUGCCAAUUCCCCAGCAUAAUUUUGCUUUUGUUUAGUAAGGAAUGCAUGACUCCACUGGAGGUGGGUUAUAAAAAAAAAAAAUCAAACAAAGCAAGCGUUUUACCUUUUCCAUUCUUUCAUCUUCUUGGUUCUGAAGCUGCAUUCAGUAUUUUUUACCCAAAAUCCUCUCUGCUCAGACUCAUACUAACUUCUUCAGAACAAAUGGACAUUCAAAGGGACCUCCCAACUAUUUUGAAGAGUCCAUUGUGGUUCACCCUCCACAGUACUCCUGCCGUGGAAGCUUUCAAGCGCUUGCUUUCUCCAGCCUCUCCUUUUCCCUCUGCAGCCUUCUUCCUUCUCUUAUUCUCAUUCAUCCCCUCCAGUUUCUAACUAGCCUGUGUGGAAAAUGUCACUUCUUGCAUCUGUCACCAACAGACUGGUCAGCCCCUCUCCACAGAGCACUGCCCUUUCUGCCUUCUCCUCAUUUGCCUCCAAGCAUGUUCAGUGUACUUCCUAGAGCCACUGACUUUUGCUUCCCCCCCAGAUCUACUUUAGAUCUCUUCCAGUCUGUUUUUGUCCCCUACACAAUAUGUUACAUGCUGUUACACCCUAUCAUCUCAAGAAGGUUUGUGACCGUUGACUUCUGGUUCCCUUCCUUCCAGGUCCUUGUCCCUUCCAUUCUUUUCGCCAGAAGGAUGCUGUCCCUCAGGGCUGCUCUUGGCUUUCCUGUCUGCUGCCCCUCUGGACAAUGUCAGCCCCAAACAGAGCUUUGACUUAUAUCUUAUUUCUCCCCACAGCUAAAAGAAAAAGACAUGAUGUGUCCUCCUGACAUUCCUUGGUGGAUACCUGGUCAUGGCCAAAAGGCCAAAUCUUUUCACAUUUGCUCCCAGCUGUUACACAGCUAUACACAGACCUGUAAUCUUGUUUUCCUAUGAUUUGGCCCCAGUGUUCAGGCUUUGUACAAAUAUUUCCAUUCCUUCCUGCCCUGUGCUUUCUGUACAAGUUCUCACGUCUGUUCAGCCUCCUGUGCUGUUUUCCCAGUUUCAGCCAUUCUGUUCACACAGGACUGGCUCUGCUCUCCUCGCACUGCACGUUCACUAAGCACUUGUUCAAGCUGCCUGUACUGUCAAUUACCCAGUUAUGCCUCCUCCAGGUCCUUCCACUCUCUUCUCUGCAAACAGAAACCUCCCUUGAUCUCCUCCGUCACUUCAUUCAGCUCUACUUGUCAGGCUUUUUGGUUUCUGAGAUGCUGAGCUUUCCCUAGCUGAGGCCAGGGCAGACAGGCCAUUUUCCCGAUGGAGGAAUUCCUAACCACAUAAGCUCGCUCUUCACCUCAGCACCUUCUUCUGGAGAAAUUCAGCACACUGGUUUUCAUCUCUGGGGCAGCAAGUACCAACUUCACCCUCUCAGCUGAGGCCUUUGGAUCCAGCUCUCUGUUCCAGUCCUCCAGUGACCAUACAGUGAUCUGCCUUGAACAUGCAUUUCCACAGCACAGCCUGCUGAGCGGAAAAACAGAAGGCUCUGACUCAGAAAUGCCCUGAUUUGGAAAGGUUGAUGGCCGCACCCCAUGGAACAGAAUGGCUGACCUUUGCUGGAGCAGCUGCUCCGUUACAGUGACCCAAAAGUGAUAUUUAGUCAAAAUAUGAAAAGCCACUAUGCUCUCCUUCCAAUGUUGCCUCGGCCAAAGAAGAAAAAAAAAAGAAAAA
Molecule: long non-coding RNA, 3698 nt
Organism: Gallus gallus (chicken)
Lineage: Eukaryota; Metazoa; Chordata; Aves; Galliformes; Phasianidae
Source: Ensembl